CCUACGGGAGGCAGCAGUGAGGAAUAUUGGUCAAUGGACGAGAGUCUGAACCAGCCACGUAGCGUGAAGGAUGAAUGCCCUAUGGGUUGUAAACUUCUUUUAUAUGGGAAUAAAACGUUCCACGUGUGGGAUUUUGUAUGUACCAUAUGAAUAAGGAUCGGCUAACUCCGUGCCAGCAGCCGCGGUAAUACGGAGGAUCCGAGCGUUAUUCGGAUUUAUUGGGUUUAAAGGGAGCGUAGGUGGGUUGUUAAGUCAGUUGUGAAAGUUAGCGGCUCAACCGUAGAAUUGCAGUUGAAACUGGCAGUCUUGAGUACAGUAGAGGUGGGCGGAAUUCGUGGUGUAGCGGUGAAAUGCUUAGAUAUCACGAAGAACUCCGAGUGCGAAGGCAGUUCACUGGACUGCAACUGACACUGAGGCUCGAAAGUGUGGGUAUCAAACAGGAUUAGAUACCCCAGUAGUC
RNAcentral lists this ribosomal RNA (460 nucleotides) under uncultured bacterium. Its description in RNAcentral is "partial 16S ribosomal RNA". It matches the Rfam family "Bacterial small subunit ribosomal RNA", at positions 338 to 795 of the family's 1533-position model. The record is from RNAcentral.